This 141-nucleotide small nuclear RNA is filed under the name Salvator merianae (Argentine black and white tegu). RNAcentral describes it as "U1 spliceosomal RNA (ENSSMRG00000012373.1)". It matches the Rfam family "U1 spliceosomal RNA". Rfam says of the family: U1 is a small nuclear RNA (snRNA) component of the spliceosome (involved in pre-mRNA splicing). The record is from RNAcentral. Lineage: Eukaryota; Metazoa; Chordata; Lepidosauria; Squamata; Teiidae.
AUCUGGCAGGGGAAAUACCAUGAUCACAAAGGUGGCUUUCCCAAGGUAAGGCUCAUCCAUUCCAAUCUGAGUAUGCUGACCUUGGCAAUUUCCUCAAAUGCAGCAAACUUACUGCAUAAUUUGACUGCCAGUCACCACUGU